ACUAAUCAUACCUUUCUCGGCCUUUUGGCUAAGAUCAAGUGUAGUAUCUGUUCUUAUCAGUUUAAUAUCUGAUAUGUGGAUCAUCGAUCCACACGAUAUUAAAUUAAUAUUUAAAGGGGAGGGCUCAAUGCAGUAGCUUGCUACUGCGAGCCCUGAGCGUCGCCCAUGCGUUGCACUACAGCACGGGCCUGGCGCACCCCCCACCAACUCUUAUGUUUCAAAUUUUGGAGGUUUGUCAGGAUUUGGAUUGAUUCUUAUUUGUCUUAAUUGUCUGUUAAAUAAAUUGUCGAUUGUUAAAUUAAUUUCUUUUUUAGUCUUUGCUAUGAACGCGCAUCGAUAAUUUUAUCACCGAAGGAAGAACAGCCAGAACCUAGACAAUCAUACUCGAAGGUUUAUAUAUGUCAUGAGCAUGUUUGAAAACUCAAGAAAACUCAAAGAAGUGGAAUCUUGUAUCAAAUGAUAUUGAGUUUUUUAAUUUGAGGCUGUUCAGGGAAUCAUUUGAAAGACCCAAGUCACCAAAAUUUAUUCACUAUCCCCCAUCAUCAUUUCAAUAUUCUGUGACUAGAACACUGGUUUUCGGUCUCGACCUCCUUGCAAGUGUAGAGAUGAGUCUUAAAAUAUUUCUGAUAGUCUAAUAUUUCAGUUCGCAUCUCAACCUUAGCAUGGUGGUGUAUCAUAAACAAUUAAUAUCUGCAGAAAAGGACGAAAGGGUAGUCACGUACAACUUCUAUGCACAUCCCAAUGUAAACCCACAAGCUGGAUUUUUAUUUAUUUAUUUAUUCCUUUUUUCUUUUUCUUUUUUUUGGGUGCUUUGAUGAUGGUAGUUCUUUUUCCAUUUAUCAAUCCAAUUAACUGCGUUUCUCUCAUAUUUCCAUUUUCUUCCAAAGCUUUUUUAGAUUAUUCAGCCAGGCUGAAUAAAUUAUAUAAACAUAAGGUCAUAGGCCGUACCUGAAAUCACCAUCUUCAGAAACAAAUAAAUUAAUAAGGAUAUGAAUAUAUGUGCAAUAACGCAUCAAAAACUCUUAACUCAACACUGAAUCCUAAUAUAAAGAAAACAAUAAAUCUUUUAUCUUUCCUUAUUAAAGAUAACAAUCCUGGUUAUAUAUUAACCGCGCAACAAAAACUUCUAAAGCUCUCUGUAUCCUGUAGCGUUUAGUCUAUAUUUCUUCAGUUGAAGAUCAGAAUGGAGGAAAAGCCAGAGCAGCCGAAGCCACCAUCAUCAUCAUCAAAUUGGUCUGACAUCUGUUUGUUCUUCGUGGCGUAGGAUUCUAAUGGAUUAUAUCCCAACAUCCGAAGCAAUUACUUGGCUCAUUUUCCCUUCAAACCUCCACCCAGAUGGUGCUUCUGAUGGCUGCCGCUUCUAUAGUCUCGACGAGAGAAAGUUUUACUUUCAGAAAAACAGUGUGUUCAAGGACUUUGGGAAGAGGCAUUUGUAUUGGUUCAUCUCACGGAUGGCUCGUAGUCUUAGAUGAAACAGCCAAUCCUUUUCUUUUGAAUCCCUUCUCUUGUAUCCAGAUUCUCCUUCCUCCCCUGGAAACUCUUCCGGAUGUUGUGUCCUCUUCCGAAUCGGGUUAGAAAAGAUUGCCAAGUAACCAUUGCCCUGAGUGACCGAUUUGUUAUUAUUUUUGUCAGCAUUAUGUCUAAAGCUGAUUGGUUUGUCAAAGAUACAGAGCUGACAGAGAGAAGCAUUAAGGCUAAGGGAAGAUCAUCAUAAAAGAGGUCAAUAUGCACUUGCUGUUGCUAAAGAGUUCAUUUGGCUCGCAAGGAAAGCAAAGGAGCAACAACAAUUUAUUUGUUUAGUAUUUUUCUUGAUAGAACCCAGGGGUAUCACAGUUCUGUUAGGUUUUUGGGUAAUGAGACGAGGAAUGAUUUUCAUUAUAUUUGCUUCACUACAACUAGUAGAAGAAGGGAUUACCGAGCAAUCUCACAACAGGCUAGCGAUGUUCUCUUCAUUAACUACAAGGCUGGUUGUUUACUCUGCAAGGCAAGCUACGCCCAUGGCUUUGCGUUAGGCUUCUCUUCAGAUGUUUCUUGUGGGUUUCUCCGUGGGCUGCUUUACAACCAAAUGGGCCGACCUUUUUUUCCAAAAAGAGUUAGAACUAUUGAUACCCUCCAACCACCGCUUACCCACUAAAUAAUUGAAAUAAAUAGUACUUUUUUUUCAACCACCUUAAUUUCUUAAAUAAAUUUGAUGUUGUCUUCUUCCAAAAUAAAAUCCCUCAUUUUCUUGCAUCAGCACGCAGUAGCAAGAAUGCAAGAAUGUCCUUUCAUCUUGAUGUAUUUUAUUAACUAACUCAUUAAAGUUCUUUGUCCCACAUCGAGUGAUCAAAAGAAACAAAUAUGCCUGGUCUGGGUUUAAAAGCAGAGCUGCAACACGAAGCUAGGCAUACCUUUCUCGGCCUUUUGGCUAAGAUCAAGUGUAGUAUCUGUUCUUAUCAGUUUAAUAUCUGAUAUGUGGAUCAUCGAUCCACACGAUAUUAAAUUAAUUUUUUAAGGGGAGGGCUCAUUGCGGUAGCUUGCUACUGCGAGCCCUGAGCGUCGCCCAUGCGUUGCACUACAGCACGAGCCUGGCGCACCCCGCACCAACUCUUAUGUUUCAAAUUUAGGACAGGACAACGAAAUUCAGAAUUUGGAUGAUGGAUUUUGAGUUCAAACAAUGUAGAAAAACUGAC
RNAcentral lists this long non-coding RNA (2672 nucleotides) under Citrus maxima (pomelo). Its description in RNAcentral is "long non-coding RNA (CMAX_LNC002855)". The stretch from base 8 to 202 matches the Rfam family "U2 spliceosomal RNA". The record is from RNAcentral. Lineage: Eukaryota; Viridiplantae; Streptophyta; Magnoliopsida; Sapindales; Rutaceae.